RNAcentral lists this ribosomal RNA (460 nucleotides) under uncultured bacterium. Its description in RNAcentral is "partial 16S ribosomal RNA". It matches the Rfam family "Bacterial small subunit ribosomal RNA", at positions 338 to 795 of the family's 1533-position model. The record is from RNAcentral.
CCUACGGGUGGCAGCAGUGAGGAAUAUUGGUCAAUGGACGAGAGUCUGAACCAGCCAAGUAGCGUGAAGGAUGACGGCCCUAUGGGUUGUAAACUUCUUUUAUAUGGGAAUAAACUGUUCCACGUGUGGGAUUUUGUAUGUACCAUAUGAAUAAGGCUCGGCUAACUCCGUGCCAGCAGCCGCGGUAAUACGGAGGAUCCGAGCGUUAUCCGGAUUUAUUGGGUUUAAAGGGAGCGUAGGUGGAUUGUUAAGUCAGUUGUCAAAGUUUGCGGCUCAACCGUAAAAUUGCAGUUGAAACUGGCAGUCGUGAGUACAGUAGAGGUGGGCGGAAUGCGUGGUGUAGCGGUGAAAUGCUUAGAUAUCACGAAGAACUCCGAUUGCGAAGGCAGCUCACUGGACUGCAACUGACACUGAGGCUCGAAAGUGUGGGUAUCAAACAGGAUUAGAUACCCUAGUAGUC